CAGGUUAAGUACAAGUGAAAGUAAUGGUACGUUAAAGAGGAAAAAGGUAAUGAAAGGGAUAAAGAAAAGGUAAAAGAUCCGUGGACUUUCCUGGUUUCACGGGGACUAGGAUAGAUUGGAAUAGACUACGCACACCUGACCAACCUAUUCCUAACGAGAGUCCGAUGGAGCGAGAACGGCAGUGCCCAACGAGCAGCAGCUUGGAGUAGCGACGGUCGCGUUCGGUGGUGUCGAGAGGCGGGAUCGAACGGGUGCGGACACGCUCGUUGGCAUCGAGGGGCUUCCAAGAGUGGGUGCGACUAUGGGCUCGCUCGGUGACGCUGAGCGGCGGCCAAGAGCAGGUGCAGACGUCCGCGGCCGCAUCAAGAAGGAACGGAGUGCCUACGGACGCGAUCUAUGGCGUCGAGCGACGCCCAAGAGGGGGUGCGGACGCGCGCUAUCGCGUCGAGAGACGUCCAGGACUUGUUCACCGCACUGCCGUCGUCGCCGGCCUCCUUCUCUACCCACGCACACAUCUAGGACUUCUACAACUUACGUUCGUUGUAUCUCUUGACAGGUUGUGAUGAGAGAACAGUUAAAAACGUACAGGUCGGAAGAGCCUUCUACCGUAAUCCGUCAAAUGAAAGACUACCUCUGGUGA
Molecule: ribosomal RNA, 640 nt
Filed under: Triticum aestivum (bread wheat)
Lineage: Eukaryota; Viridiplantae; Streptophyta; Magnoliopsida; Poales; Poaceae
Description: partial small subunit ribosomal RNA
Source: RNAcentral